Pluteus cervinus is the source of this 79-nucleotide non-coding RNA. Lineage: Eukaryota; Fungi; Basidiomycota; Agaricomycetes; Agaricales; Pluteaceae. The record is from the annotation of a GenBank genome assembly.
AGAACAAUGGCGUAGUUGGUUAUCCCAUCUUCUUCAAAUAAAUUGACAGAAGCUCCCAGUUCGAAUCCGGGUUGUUCAA